Drosophila gunungcola (fruit fly) is the source of this 866-nucleotide long non-coding RNA. RefSeq lists it as uncharacterized. Lineage: Eukaryota; Metazoa; Arthropoda; Insecta; Diptera; Drosophilidae. The transcript is spliced from 2 exons. The record is from RefSeq and is a predicted model, not a curated record.
GGUUUCGUCCAUCUCGAUUGUGGUUGCCACGCCCCUUUAUCCGACUUUAAACUCAGUUGCCAACGUUUUUAUUGCCUUAUUUUGAACAGUACUCCAAAGUUGAAUAAAACCGAAUUUUGGCAACGAUGCAAUGGGAUGCAAUGACUUACCAAUGUAGUGGAUAAAUUAUUAAGCAAUUAGAAGGCAUGACUGACUUGCUGGCAUUUCAAAAUUGCCCCAGGGCAUGCCACGCCCACCACCCAACUACCACCCAAAAACGAAAUUACAAACCAUUAGGCACAGGACGAUGGAACGAUGGGACGAUGAGACGAGAGAGAAGGCAGACACAAAGGAUUCUCAGUUAUUAAUGAGAAAAUCACAGGGAAAAGCACGCACGACCAGCUCGCAAUAAUGAGGAAAAUGUGAGGGAAAUGGGGAAAAACGGAGAGGAAGCGACGUGUAUUGUAAUUUUUAUUUUUAUGCCGAAACGAAAUCAUUCGAUUUCAUCAUUUUAUGGACCCCGACACUGCAUUAUCAUUAUACAUAGUAUUUUGGGACAUACACACAUAGCAUUAGACCCUCAACCUUUUUCCCUUGCUUUUGCCCAUCAAAAAGGCAACACGUAGCAAAUUAUGAAUGAAUGAAAGCUGGGUGUGGAACAGUGGAGCCUGCCUCGUAAUUGCCACUUGGUUGUGCCACAUGUGGCAGGCCAUCCAAAUGAAGGCGACAAAUUUCAGUAGUUCUCGCCGCUCGCUCUCCAAGGACCUGCAAACUGAGUAAAUUGCGCAAUGAACGGUGGCAAAUUACAUGAGCAGCCCGAACUGGGAACCCCAGGAGUCUGGAUAGAAAUGCGAGUGAAUAUGGUUGCCAUUAAAUGAGAAAACUUG